GGGCCGCGGGCGCCGGGAGCCCACGCUCCGCUGGCGUCCGCACACUCGAGCCCCACGCCGUGGCCGCUCCGCGGGCACGCGCGCUGAGACGAGGCGGGGCGGCCGGGGCCGGGCCUGGUCACGCUCGCGCCUGGCGGGCCGGCCGGCCGGCGCCACCCCCAGGGUCAGCGUCGCGGCGCAGGCCCACGCCCCGUCUGGUGGCUUUUAGAUUUUGAGCGUCAGCACAGAGCCGGAGGCGGGGCCCCGAGUCACAACCAGGACGACGGGAGCGGGAUCACAUGGCGCUUAACCGACGGAGCCACCCGGUGCCCCCCCACGUGUGGUUCGAAACGCAAUAGAGACAUUUUCAAAUUCUUGUGACAGGUUUGGCCAAGCCCUCCCUUUGUGAAGGUCAUGCCCAGGCCGGGCCGUGGCCGGUAGCGCGCCUACUCACCCCCCUUCUUGGAAAGUCUGCGAGCUGGUCCCAGACGUACCAGCCCAGUGGGUGACGGAGCGGGAACCCACCUGCAGCUCUGAGAUGAGCCCCUCCUGCCUUUUCUGCUUCUCUGGCCAACAGGACGGCGUGUGGCAUCAAGCCCUUUCCACGGAUGAGGGAGGCUGCCGAGCUGGGUGGUAAGCAGCAAGGGGAGGCAGCAAAUGGCUGGUCUGUCGAGAUCCAGUGGGGUGCUGGAGCUUGUCUUCUAGAAACCUGGACCUUACCCCUGGGUGAG
Hyaena hyaena (striped hyena) is the source of this 710-nucleotide long non-coding RNA. RefSeq lists it as uncharacterized. The transcript has 3 exons. The record is from RefSeq and is a predicted model, not a curated record. NCBI's taxonomy places the organism in Eukaryota, Metazoa, Chordata, Mammalia, Carnivora, Hyaenidae.